GCGGAUAUGGCGAAAUUGGUAGACGCGCCAGAUUUAGGUUCUGGUGAGCUUAACUCGUGAGAGUUCGAAUCUCUCUUUCCGUA
RNAcentral lists this transfer RNA (83 nucleotides) under Olisthodiscus luteus. RNAcentral describes it as "tRNA-Leu". It matches the Rfam family "tRNA". Rfam says of the family: Transfer RNA (tRNA) molecules are approximately 80 nucleotides in length. Their secondary structure includes four short double-helical elements and three loops (D, anti-codon, and T loops). Lineage: Eukaryota; Olisthodiscophyceae; Olisthodiscaceae. The record is from RNAcentral.